This 410-nucleotide RNase P RNA is filed under the name Sphingomonas sp. IBVSS1. Its description in RNAcentral is "RNase P RNA component class A". It matches the Rfam family "Bacterial RNase P class A". From Rfam's summary of the family: Ribonuclease P (RNase P) is a ubiquitous endoribonuclease, found in archaea, bacteria and eukarya as well as chloroplasts and mitochondria. Its best characterised activity is the generation of mature 5'-ends of tRNAs by cleaving the 5'-leader elements of precursor-tRNAs. Cellular RNase Ps are ribonucleoproteins. The record is from RNAcentral. Lineage: Bacteria; Pseudomonadati; Pseudomonadota; Alphaproteobacteria; Sphingomonadales; Sphingomonadaceae.
UCACGUCGUCGGGCGGCCGCGUCGGGAGCAAUCCCGCCGAGGAAAGUCCGGGCUCCACGGAACGCGGUGCCGGGUAACACCCGGCGGUUCUGGCCUUCGGGCCGGAAUCAGGGACAGUGCCACAGAGAAGAGACCGCCGAUGGGCCCGGAUCAUCUCCGGGAGACAGGCAAGGGUGAAACGGUGCGGCAAGAGCGCACCGCGCGAUGGGCAACCAAAGCGGCACGGCAAACCCCACCGGGAGCAAGACCGAAUAGGGAUGGCGCGCAGGGCUUCGGCGCUGCAGGGCAGGAACCGGCCCAGCCAUCCGGGUUGGUUGCUGGAGGCGGCGGGCAACCGCCGUCCGAGAGGAAUGGUCGCCCAGGGGGCAUGAGCCCCUGGACAGAACCCGGCUUACAGACGGCGUGAUCGC